Molecule: long non-coding RNA, 224 nt
Filed under: Mytilus galloprovincialis (Mediterranean mussel)
Lineage: Eukaryota; Metazoa; Mollusca; Bivalvia; Mytilida; Mytilidae
Source: RNAcentral
AAAAAAGUAAACCAUUAUAGGUCAAUGUACGGCCUUCAACACGGAGCCUUGGCUCACACCGAACAACAAGCUAUAAAGGGCCCCAAAAUUACUAGUGUAAAACCAUUCAAACGGGAAAAACAACGGUCUAAUCUAUAUAAAAUAAAAAAAACGAGAAACGAGAAACACGUAUAAAUUACAUAAACAAACUACAACUACUGUACAUCAAAUUCCUGACUUAGGAC